Molecule: ribosomal RNA, 468 nt
Filed under: uncultured bacterium
Lineage: Bacteria
Description: partial 16S ribosomal RNA
Rfam family: Bacterial small subunit ribosomal RNA
Source: RNAcentral
GACGAACGCUGGCGGCGUGCUUAACACAUGCAAGUCGAACGGAAAGGCCCUGCUUUUGCGGGGUGCUCGAGUGCCGAACGGGUGAGUAACACGUGAGUAACCUGCCCCUGACUUUGUGAUAACUUCACGAAACUGGGGCUAAUACUGGAUAGGAGCUCUUGCUGCAUGGUGGGGGUUGGAAAGUUUCGGCGGUUGUGGAUGGAUUCGCGGCUUAUCAGCUUGAUAGUGGGGUAGUGGCUUCCGAAGGCUUUGAGGGGUAGCCGGCCUUGGAGGGUGGCCGGGCUCAUUAGUACUGCGGUAGGCCGCAGUAGCGAACGGGCGGCAGUGGUCGGGAAUAUUGCGGAGUGGGGGGAAGCGUGUGAUGGCAACGCCCGGUGCGGAAUGACGUCCUUCGGGUUGUGAACCGAUUUCGAAGGUAACGAGGCGUGAGUGACGGUAAUGAGUAAAGAAGCAACGGCUAACUACGUG